Long non-coding RNA from Mya arenaria, 371 nucleotides. RefSeq lists it as uncharacterized. The record is from RefSeq and is a predicted model, not a curated record. The transcript has 4 exons. NCBI's taxonomy places the organism in Eukaryota, Metazoa, Mollusca, Bivalvia, Myida, Myidae.
UUUUUUGCCUCUGUUUUGGUCACACUCUGGACAGUGGUCUCGAUUGGCUGUGUUACACGCAUCAUCAACUGAACAUUGCCAUGAUGUGAAUACUGUUGAUACUGAUGAUGUGGAUGCUGAUGAUGUGGAUGAUGAUAAUGUGGAUGCCUCCGGACUGAAAUAGCUGGACAGUGCCAUGAUGUGAAUACUGAUGAUACUGAUGAUGAGGAUGCUGAUGAUGUGGAUGCUGAUGAUGUGGAUGCCUCCGUUGAUCAACCAGUGACUGAAAUAGCUGGACAGUGCCAUGAUGUGAAUACUGUUGAUACUGAUGAUGUGGAUGUUGAUAAUGCUGAUGCCUCCGUUGAUCAACCAGGGACUGAAAUAGGUACACU